CCUACGGGAGGCAGCAGUGGGGAAUAUUGGACAAUGGGCGAAAGCCUGAUCCAGCAAUUCCGCGUGUGUGAAGAAGGCCUUCGGGUUGUAAAGCACUUUAGUGGGGGAAGAAACAGCUUGGCCACACCAAGCCUUGACGGUACCCCAAGAAUAAGCACCGGCUAACUCUGUGCCAGCAGCCGCGGUAAUACAGAGGGUGCAAGCGUUAAUCGGAUUUACUGGGCGUAAAGGGUGCGUAGGUGGCUAUUUAAGUCGGAUGUGAAAGCCCGGGGCUCAACCUCGGAAUUGCAUUCGAUACUGAGUGGCUAGAGUUCGGUAGAGGGCGGCGGAAUUUCCGGUGUAGCGGUGAAAUGCGUAGAUAUCGGAAGGAACAUCAAUGGCGAAGGCAGCCGCCUGGGCCUGGACUGACACUGAGGCACGAAAGCGUGGGUAGCAAACAGGAUUAGAUACCCUGGUAGUCCACGCCGUAAACGAUGGGAACUUGACGUUGGUUCGUUUUACGAAUCGGUGUCGCAGCUAACGCGAUAAGUUCUCCGCCUGGGGAGUACGGCCGCGAAGGUUGAAACGUCAAAGGUAAUUGACGG
Molecule: ribosomal RNA, 584 nt
Filed under: uncultured bacterium
Lineage: Bacteria
Description: bacterial SSU rRNA
Rfam family: Bacterial small subunit ribosomal RNA
Source: RNAcentral